Long non-coding RNA from Gossypium arboreum, 707 nucleotides. RefSeq lists it as uncharacterized. The record is from RefSeq and is a predicted model, not a curated record. NCBI's taxonomy places the organism in Eukaryota, Viridiplantae, Streptophyta, Magnoliopsida, Malvales, Malvaceae. The transcript has 2 exons.
AAUUCGUUAUUGGUCGCAUGAUAAAUUAUAUCCAUUUUCUUGGAGGAUAAAUAUGAUGACUGUGAGCUUGAGGUGUCUUUCAUACAUCCAUGUAAACGCAAUGCUAAGGUGAUGAAGUGUGGUGUUAGAAUAGUGUAUGAGAAAGAUUUGAAAGAAAUAAAAGAGUUGCAGUGCCAUACCACUCCAUCUUCUCACAUCCACCAGCACUCUGCUCACAACCAUGGAUUAGUAGGUAGCACUUCUCACAUAAAACGAAAACGUAAUGUCUGCGAGGAAGCGGAGGAAGAAUGGCUGCAACCAAAAUGGAUGCAAAAGAUUUUCAAUUUUAUAAUGGGUCAAUCGGGGAAGAAGCAUUAGCUUAGGAAGACCGAUGUGAAGAAUCAUCAAGUAAUAGUAUUCCGCAAACCUGGUAGAUUACGUAUACAAGAGAACCAAAACAUGGAAGAAGCAGAGAAGAAAAACACGCAGGAGAGAAGAAAGAAGAAGAUGAGUGAUAUCAAACGAAGUGAAUAUUACCCAUCCAAGUACUACUCCGAGUUUGCAUAUACACCUCAAAUUUUCAGAGACCUGCUCUCUCAUGUAGGAUCCAUCUACCUGGCCACCAUUUUUCCUGUUCUACCUGCUACUAUUCUAAUUACCCAUUUUGUCAGAUACCAUAUAUGCAAUUUUCUACCUACUUCCGUUUAUAUUAGUUUAUAUUCUCUUAA